UGUAAUUAGGAAUUUGGUGUUCUUGUCGAUCUUGUCUGCUUUUGUCGUGGAUACUGCCUCUAAACUUCAGGUGGGUUGUAUUGCUGAUGCCUUGGAAUAUGUAUUUUGAUGUGAACUAAUGUCUCUUGUGUGUGCUCCAGUGUUGAUCUUUUGGGACUAAUUUGUUGUAACUGUUUAUACUGAUGCUUCAUUAGUUGCAUAAGCAUAUAUGAUUCUGUGAGCAAAUUAUCUUCACUGAUCUAUUUUAGAGAGAUGUCUGAUUAGCUGCACAAGCAUACAUGGUUCCGUAGGUAAUUUGUUUACCCUGAUCAUCUUGCUAUCCAGUUCUGUUGGUAUGGUCUGAAACAGAUUCACAAGUAUUUAUGAUGAUUGUUUGCAUGGUGGGUCAUGCUAGCAAUGUGCUUUGCAUAUACACGAUUCAAAUAUUUGUUAGGUGUUUUAGUUUACACAUUUCUCCUGAAAAUCUAUAUAUGUGUAUGCAGUCAUUUUUGAAUUGGCUAUGAUUCUUUUUAGUGUUUUAGUUUACACAUUUCUCUUGAGAAUCUUCAUAUCGAACUGUAAUAGUAUGUAUAAUAUAGGUUUGUAAUUUUUCCAUUACUUGGUUCUUGCCCAGGUCUUCUGUUUCUAUACCAUACUGUUCUCGUGUCAUUCCUGGUAGUUCUUGUAGGGCCUACAGAUCAGCUCAGUUUAUAUAUAUAUGCUUUUACUCCUGAAGACAGUUUAAUGAUGUUUAUUCUUCUAGUUUACGAAAAUCUCUGCCUUAUAGGGCCGGUUCAUAUUGACAUGGAGGAGGCAUAGAGGGUUAUUGCUUCUGUUUGUGGGCUGGCCUUGAGGGGGAGACCAAAGCAAACAUCAACAUGUUCAAGGUGCAUAUACUCUGCUACUUGUGUUCGUCUCCCUACCUAAUGUGGAGCAUUAUACAUUUUGCUCAAUAUAGUUAGUUACUUAGUUUACUGGAAGUUGUGAUAGUCAGAGCGCAUACAUGCUUGAUUUUACUUCAGUUAGUAGCUGUAUCCAGUAGGAACUUAUUUGCGAAAACUAGACCUGGAGAAAGUAUGCAGCCCUGUUUUGUGCAGAUAACUACUUUUGGUUACAUACUGUUGGCAAAUUUAGUAGGCUUAUACAAUAAGCUUCUUCAUUGAUUUUGUUAUUCGUAAACCUGUAGUUACGGAGAUCCAUGAGUUUCAUCGAACAUAUAAACGCUGGUGGGCAACCCGCCGUUCUAGGGGCCUUCGCGCGCGCACGAUCGCUGGCUGUUCGAUUAGCUUCUUUAAUCGUUUUUCAGCCUCGAAUUUUACCAUUCACUUCUAUCUUUUGUUACAACUUUGGCUGCUUUACCGGGUGGCUGCCAUUGGGCCCAUAAAAUCAUUGGUCCAUGCGGCAGCGGAGUGCUCGUCAACUCGGUCUGUGACCGCCCGUAAAAAAAACCUAGAUCGUCUAAUACUAUCUCUAUGGGGAUAUGUCUGAAGCUUCAGUAUGUUUUCCCCCUAACAGUAUUUAAUCUAACCAGUGGUGCAUCAGGUACUAGAUUGUGGUGAGAAAAUCGAACUACUCGUUGAUAAAGACAGCAUGCUCGCUCACAUGUAUUGUGGUUUCGCACUCAUAAAUCAGUACUUGGGCAUUGUCUUUGUUUUAUAUAUAUAAGAAUGUUAUCAUCAAAAACUGUAAUAUCUCUACUAAUAAACUUUAUGGAAGUGCACCACCAACUGAAUGAGGAGAGAGCUAUCUUCAACUGAUGAUUCCACCCCUUUUUACAUAACACUAGCUGCUGCACAGUAAAAAUUGUCUCGCAGAUGCUCUUUAUGACACAAACUGACAGAUUAAUGAGUGCACUCAUGGAGAACAUAACAAGGUAUUUUAGGAAGUGCUUGGACUAGGUUCAAAUUUUUGACAGUCUUAGGCUUUCUGAAAUACAGCCAUGGGAUGACCCGCCCUCCCGAGCGAUCGAGCGAUUUCACGUCGUUCUGGCCGUUUGAUCUCUCCUGGUCGGGUCAACGCGGCCUGUCGGCCGCCCCUUUUUUGCUGCAUGUUUUGACCGAGGGAAUCGAGUGUGGGCUACGAUGACUGGUGGGCUCGCCGGGUUCUUCCAUUGGCUGGGUUCGAAGUUCUCGUGUGCCCACUCCUAGCGCAUCGCGUGGCUCAUCCCGCGCUGACCGCGGCGUGCGUGUGUUCUGUACAAAGCUUGUUUAGUUCUCUAAAACCUGCACAUGUUAGAUACAGUUUGCGAGAACAUGUGCAGAUUUGUGAGAACUAAGAAAACUUUUCCCCAGAACAUGUCCAUUGAUAGUAAGAUCGUUUGCCAUAGUGAAAGGAGGCAAUGCGUUUGAUAUAGCUUGUCAUGAGAUAAUGAAACAAUAGUGUUUAUUUGGUCACCAGCAAGAUGAUGAUGUGAAGAAUGACUAUUUGCGUCUUUCAGAGUUUCUACCAUUAAAUAGUUUCCCAUAACAGAAUAUUUGCUAAUAUUGGUAGCUAAAAAUGAGAUACUUAUGCUUGUUGACGCUUUCCCUUUUUGUAGUAACAUCCAUGUGUCCAGCAUAUGUAGAAUAUUGGAUUUUUCUUGGCUAUUUAUUGUAGUUCGUUCUUAGGGUUUGGAAAAUUCUUUAGGUAUAUUCCUUGUCUCAAGCGAGCAUGAGUAAUAUCUUCUUUAUGCUGCGUGCCGCCAAGUUUCUCUAUUUUAGAUGGUAGUAUCUUUUCGCUUCUAGAAAGGGAUAUGUAUUUUAUUAAUCUGACUAUAAUUUGUGGUAGGUACAUACUGAAGGAUGUUCUGAGGCUAGCACCUGGUUUAGAAGUUUUGCAGUUCACAACAAUACCUCAUAAUUUUGAUUUGAUGUCCAGAAUGUCAACUGAGGAAUGAGCCUAUGAACUGCAUUGUAUUUUGUAAUAUAUCCUUAUAUAUGGUGCUUGUGGCAUUUUUUUUGCAAUUAUAAGUUUACAUUUAUGGGUAUUUACAGAGUCCCCCUUUCUUUUUCCACAAGUGGCAGUAGUUGUGCCAUUCGAUUUGAAGGACAAAGAGUUGAUCACAAAGGGGUAGCAUUCAGGAUAUAUACACAAGAGUAUAGAACCAAAUUAUAUGAUGUAAUUGACCACUAUUUCUAUUAACUUUUCUUGUACACAAUGUUCACGAGUUCGUGUACAUUUUAUUGUGUCACUUGUGUUUACUUUUUUUUAAUGCAAGUUUACAGCUACUCGGAGU
RNAcentral lists this long non-coding RNA (3193 nucleotides) under Triticum aestivum (bread wheat). Its description in RNAcentral is "long non-coding RNA (TAES_LNC022755)". Lineage: Eukaryota; Viridiplantae; Streptophyta; Magnoliopsida; Poales; Poaceae. The record is from RNAcentral.